UACGUAGGGGGCGAGCGUUGUCCGGAGUUACUGGGCGUAAAGGGCAUGCAGGCGGUCUGGCGCGUUUUGUGUGACAGCGGGGGGCUCAACUCCCCGAGCAUGCGAAAGACGGUUGGACUUGAGGGCUCGAGAGGGACACGGAAUUCCGGGUGGAGUGGUGAAAUGCGUAGAGAUCCGGAGGAACACCGAAGGCGAAGGCAGUGUCCUGGCGAGUGACUGACGCUGAGGUGCGAAAGCCAGGGGAGCGAACGGG
Molecule: ribosomal RNA, 253 nt
Filed under: uncultured prokaryote
Description: partial 16S ribosomal RNA
Rfam family: Bacterial small subunit ribosomal RNA
Source: RNAcentral